This is an RNA transcript of Zophobas morio, 5927 nucleotides long. It is a transcript of the gene named Rab3 interacting molecule, with no coding region annotated. Lineage: Eukaryota; Metazoa; Arthropoda; Insecta; Coleoptera; Tenebrionidae. The transcript is spliced from 17 exons. The record is from RefSeq and is a predicted model, not a curated record.
CCGGCCUCCCAUUGGCGCGCCGUUAACUCAUCCUAUUAUUUAUUAAAGGUACAUGAAUGGGUAAUUGCUGUGUGUGUGAUAUUUGGCCGGACGACGGCUGAUCGAGGCAAAUCGCAAUCGCCCAAAUCGUGCAGUGCGGGUGUCGAGUGCGAGGAGUGCCCUGUGCCCCUGCCCUUGCGAUGAAGCCGCGGCGCGACCGCGACCUAGGGUAGUCGGAGCACCAUGUCCGGAAAGGGCUAGGAUGGAGGAAGGGCCGGAUCUGUCUCACCUCACUCCCGAAGAGCGGGCCAUCAUCGAGUCCGUCAUGGUCCGGCAGAAGCAGGAGGAGGAGCGCGAGCAGGAAAUCAUGAGACGCAAAGCCGACGAAGUCCACAUCCUCGAGGAGACGAUACGCGCCCGCAACGAACAACACAAGAAGGCCGGCAUCGAGCUGGACGCCACCUGUCACAUCUGCCUCAAGACCAAGUUCGCCGACGGCGUCGGCCACCUGUGCAACUACUGCUCGAUCCGGUGCUGCGCCCGCUGCGGCGGCAAGGUCACUCUCAGAUCAAACAAGGUGGUCUGGGUUUGCAUACUAUGCAGGAAAAAGCAAGAGCUGCUCAGUAAGACCGGGCAAUGGAUGCUGACCGGGCCGAACGCGGGGGACGCGGACCUCACUCCCAUCCAGCAGGCGCCAUCCGACAAGAGACCUAAGCUAGAGCGGGCGCAUUCGGCGGCGGAGAAGGAGAACCAACCUCUGCAGAGGUCCGGCAGCGUGCUGCGGCGGCAGUACUCGGAGCAGGAGCCGCGCACCCCAUCUUGCGAACGCUACAACCCGCAGUACAACGAGGACGACCCUCGGUACUACCAGGGCGAGCUCGAGGGCCUCAUGCGCACGCAUCCGCACCUGGUGCCGCGGCGGUACCCGGACCCCGAGCCAGAACCCCUGCCCAUGGACAUCCCGGCGCGGAUGCCCUCGACGACAAGUGCCAACAAGAAACACAAGCGCAGCGGCUCGACCAAGAAACACCAGCACAAUCCGCAACCGCAACUGCAGCGCUCCUUCUCGAGCUCGGAGGAGGACCUCAAGUCGACGCCUGAAUACGGCAGCGACGACCGCGACAGCGAGAAAGGAGGCAACGGAGACUGGCCUCCCCUAAGCCACUAUAUCGUCGCACCUCAGCAUAGGCCUCUGCAGGACGUAACCGCCGACAAUAGAUGUUUCACGGAGAGGAGAAAGAAGACGGUGAGAUUUGACCAACACGAGAACUGGGACAGGCAAGGAUCGCAGGACUCCCACAGGGAUUCGGGCAUUGACACUUCUUCCACCUUCACCUCCAGCGAGGAUUCCACUCGCGGAGACGUGCCCAAGCACCCCCUAUCGUGGCAAGUCUCUGCCGACGGUAGCCGGAUGAUCGGCCACAUGAUCCUACGAAGAAACGCCAGAGAGACGACCGGUUCGAGCGCAGCCAUACUCGGCCUUAAAGUAGUAGGAGGCAGGAUCCUCGAGAACGGCCUCAGGGGUGCCCUGAUCGAGAAGGUGAAGAAAGGCAGCAUCGCCGACAUCGAGGGUCAGUUGCGGCCGGGUGACGAGGUGAUCGAGUGGAACGGCCGCGUCCUCCAGGGUAAAACAUAUCAAGAAGUGGCCGACAUCAUCGCCGAGAGCAAGCAAGAGGCCAACGUGGAACUGAUAGUAUCUCGUAGUAUGGGUAGUAGACGUGCCGCCCAAGCGACGUGGAGGCAAUCUAUGGCACACAGAGGUCAGAGCGGCCAGUGGCACCAGGAGGUCGAAGGCUACGAGCGUCCGCACGUCCUCGUCACGUCGCCGGGCAGUCCCGAGCGGCCGCGGCCGAGUCCGGCCCUGGCGCCGAGCGUCGGAGGGCGGAUCCAGAUCCGGCUCGGAUUCGACCCCACCACUCUGCAGUUGCUGGUCACGAUAGUGUGCGCGGCGGGACUGACGCCUCGCUCGCCUCACCAGCCCCGGAACCCCUACUGCAAGCUCUUCCUCCUGCCCGACCGGUCGGAGAAGUCCAAGCGGCGGACCCGCACCCUCGCAGGGACGACCGAGCCCAUGUGGAACCAGACCUUCGUCUACUCCGGCCUUCGCAGAGCGGACCUCCGUCAACGCGCGCUCGAGAUCACGGUGUGGGACUAUGUGCGUUACGGCGCCAACGAUUUUUUAGGCGAAAGCAUAGUGGAGUUGUGGCCUUUGGACGAGCAGCCGACUUGGCGCACCCUCGGACCGCACGAGGAGGUCGCUUUGACGCCCAGCGAACACCUCUCGCCGCCCAGCACCGGCUCCCGCUUCUCCGACUCGGACACGCCGUCCGAGUGCGAGAUCGACGGCGGACGGGAGAGGCGCGGCGCCGACGGGGCAAGCGUCAGCAGCGUCGGAAGCUCGUCGUCGCCGCCCAACGAGCGAAAAUCCAGGAGAGACCAAGAGACGAUGAACGCGUACGCCACGCAAGGAUACCGACGCAGCGGCAUGUCGGGCCAGCGCUCGCACUCCGCCGCCCCCUGCGACUCUCCCAGCGCGCACAUGUCGCGCUCCCGCUCCAAGUCGCCCAGGCGCUCCGCCACCGACCACCGUUCCCUGUCGCCGCCCAUCGCCGUCGCCGAUUACCCGCCAACAACUUACGUCGUGCCUCGUUUCCAAUCCCGCUCGGCGACGGCAACCCCGACCGGCUCGCCGAAGAAACGUCAACUGCCCCAAGUGCCCCAAGCGCUGGCGAGAGCCCUCCAGGAGCGCGUCGCUCAAGACCUCGACCAGGACAGGAAGCACAGGAUGCGCUACGUCCAUACGUACAGGAGCACGGGCGCGGGAUGGGAGCGGCGGUACAGUGGACUGAGUGACAGUGAUUUGGCGAACCAUGCGCGGGUCUCGAGGAGGGGACAGUCGCCCGAGAGGGACAGGGACCCUUUGGGGUUGGGGGAUUUCGACAGCGACAUGGAGUCCGUGGCGUCGGUGACGAGUAGUGCGUUCUCCACACAAUCGGAACGGCCGAGGGGCACCAAGACGAUCAGUACCGAAUAUGGAGGAGGCAGCGACCGGUACGGCUACACGACAGGCCACCGAACGGCGGCGCCGAGGAACUCGAGGGACAGGGGCCAGGACCUGAGGGAGCCGAUGGAACCCAUCGACCCGCAUCACAACCACCACCACCACCAUCAUCACCAUCACCACAACAGGGAGAGCAGCAUAAAGAGAGGGCAGUUCACUAGGAGCCUGUCGAACACGGAACCGCCGCCCGACGAGAAAGCAGAUUUUCACGCAAUUGCAGAUGGUAGUCUGAGCGACACGGCCGUGGGCCAGAUGCACGGCCUGGAGGUGCCCCAGAAGGAGAUCGCGAGGAAGGAAAGCCAGCGGGAGAGGGAGAGGGAGAGGGCGGACCGGCAGGCCGCGCAGUUCGUCGGCCUCAGUAAAAAGAGUAAUUCGACAAGUCAGUUGUCGGCAACAGGUCGCAAGCGGCGGAUGGGCUUCGGUCGCAGGGGCAAGACUUCGUUCACCGUCCAUCGGUCGGAGGAGGUCCUUCCCGGGGACGUGCGACUCUCCAAGCAGGGCUCGUCGGCGUCCAGCGACGGAGAGGGCUCGGCCGACGGCGACAGGUGGUCGCCGUCCCUGCGGCUGGCGGGCGAGAGCGGCCAGCUGGCGGACUUCAUCGACGGGUUGGGGCCGGGCCAGCUGGUGGGCCGCCAGGUGCUGGGCGCGCCGGCCCUGGGCGACAUCCAGCUGUCGUUGUGCUACCAGAAAGGCUUCCUGGAAGUGGAGGUGAUACGAGCGAGGGGGCUGCAGGCGAGGCCAGGCUCCAAGGUCCUGCCAGCGCCCUACGUCAAGGUGUACCUGGUGAACGGGAAGAAAUGCAUAGCGAAGGCGAAGACGUCGACGGCGCGACGCACGCUGGACCCGCUGUACCAGCAGCAACUGGCGUUCAGGGAGAACUUCCAAGGCUGCAUACUCCAGGUGACCGUCUGGGGUGACUACGGACGCAUUGAAGGCAAGAAGGUCUUCAUGGGCGUCGCCCAGAUAAUGCUGGACGACCUGAACCUGAGCAAUAUCGUCAUAGGAUGGUAUAAGCUGUUCGGGACGACAUCCCUGGUUAGUGGGCCUCCUUCGCUCGGUCUAUCUCGACGCAGCUCCAUGGCUAGCUUAGAUUCCCUCAAGUUCUAACACAUUCCAUCGCAUCACUCCACACACUGUCGUAUUUCUCUGUCUCAUCAUACACUUGUCACUCUCCCAUCAUACUCAUCAUCACCGAUCCUCGUAGUCUUCGCAUUGCUGCCGACGUUAGUUUCCUCCACUUCACUAGUGAGAACGAUUUCCCGGUUCCUGGGCCGAGGAUCCUUGACGACGACUCCGAGAAGCGUCGGAAUAUUCGCCGGAAGUGCUCGAUUGAACAUAUACAUGAGACUAUAUUCGAGAUGAAAGAGGCAGUCCCGGCGAAUAUUCUUCGUCCGUUCGUACUUUAUCAGAGUAUUAUUCCCUCGUACGGUAUGGUGCGGUUUAGACAGUAGUAGCAGAUUUAUUAAACUAGUAAUAGUGUAAAGUGAAGAAUAUAUAAGUGUAGAUAUGGCGCACACAUAUAAAUAUAGUCUCACAUAACAUCAUAUCCAAAAUAUUUGUUAUAUGACGGCGGGGCGGCCCGGAGAACUACCCCGUGUCUACAGGCUCAGCGGCGUCAGCACGACGACCCGCCGCGAGCGAAUCGUGCUUUUCCGGGGUGUCCCGCGCGAAAAAAAAAAAUGCUUCAUUGGAAUUGAUAAAUUGCUUUUUUACUUGAAAACUAAGUAAUGACAAGAAAUUAGGUCGUGUUAAUGAACUAUGUAAAUGAUAAUGACAUUGUAGAACUGUAUAUGAACGUUUAAUUGUAACAUAUAAUUUAUUCUUGAUUGUUGAAUUGCAUGUGAUAUAACUUGACAUUUUAUGUUGUCUGUUUGAAUUUCCCGCUUCGAUCAUCUCCGUUCUGAAGCACAGAUGUCGCGACGUUUCCGUUUUGUGUAUAAUAAACAAGAUAACAUCGAAAACUGUAUUGUAAUCGAAUCUCGCGGUUCUCUCGUUUUUGUAAGGUUUGUAUGAAUUUUUAGAAAGCGCGAAAAGGGGGCGCUGCGCGCACGCACUCGCGGCCGACUGAGAUUUCGCGAGCGAGACGGGUAGAUAGACGACGGGCGGGUGCGCGAAACGCGCCCUUUUCGCGUCGUUUAGACGACGAGAAACGAUCCAAAUAUGCUUCGAAAGCUUUAAUCCGCUUGAAACCCAGAGUAUAUCAUACGUAACAACAAGGAUAUAAGCGAUUAACCGUAUAUUGUAUAUAAGUUUGAACUUGGUUAUUCUAAAUUGUAAUACACUGCAUACAGUUCAAGUGGUUGAUUUACGUAUUAUAAAAUAUCAAUAGUUAGUUUUUCUACGCUGUUCUUUAAUAAAAAUAAGACAUCCACUCCAUGGAUCAUGUUGUAUAAACUCCCAGUCGUAACCAAGGUCCGUCAACAGUGUUAAUAUUAUACCUAGUCAUACUGUCUGUCGUCGAGAUCCCUUAUCAAUUACUUACUGUGUAGAUAUUCGCCUUCAUUAUUAUACAAAACUAGUUACUGUUCGCACCAGCCAGCCGCGCCCCGCCCGGUACUCUUCAAAAGAAAGGACUUGUAAAUUGCAUCAAUUGGACUUAAAUACGGUCAGUACGGCGGCGGGCUGGCUUGUAUGUAAAUAACGAUUUUGUAUCCGCCGACUGUAUCGGACCUUGUCGGAGAGAAGAAGAGACGAAAGAAAUAGAAACGAGCGCUUGAGACACUUCGGCUACUGAACUGUAUUUUAGUGUACGGUCCACUGACAAUUGCGCAUAUCACUGGAAGUGUCAGAAGCGUCCACUGUAUGUCCGUCUUGAUAUGUUCACUCUUGACUGAUGUAUCCAUUUUAUCCAAGCCCACGGGCAAGACAAUAAAUGAAUGAUCUAUCA